UACGGAGGGUGCGAGCGUUAUCCGGAUUCACUGGGUUUAAAGGGUGCGUAGGCGGCCCGUUAAGUCCGGGGUGAAAGCCCGUUGCUCAACAACGGAACUGCCCCUGGAUACUGACGGGCUUGAGUACAGACGAGGUUGGCGGAAUGGACCGAGUAGCGGUGAAAUGCAUAGAUACGGUCCAGAACCCCGAUUGCGAAGGCAGCUGGACUAGGCUGUUACUGACGCUGAGGCACGACAGCGUGGGGAGCGAACAGG
Molecule: ribosomal RNA, 255 nt
Filed under: uncultured bacterium
Lineage: Bacteria
Description: partial 16S ribosomal RNA
Rfam family: Bacterial small subunit ribosomal RNA
Source: RNAcentral